AUCCACCAUAUCCUGUAUACACUUCCUUCCAAAAAGCUGGUCUCAGAUCCCAUUAGAAAUCAGUUGAUUACCUCCUUAACAGCUAUGCCACUACUGCACAGGAAGGCAAAUCUUGCCUUGAAGGUUGCUAUCAUCACAUGCAGAGUCUAAAGCUGAGAAAAAUUAUCACUGAACUUUUCUUUCCUCACUGUCCAUAUAACAACUCUGGAGAAAUCUUCUGGCUUUUUCUUUGUAUUUUACAACUAAGGUGUGUAAUGUUUUCAUCUAUAGGCUCUUACCUUUUAGUUUUCCUGGGGCAGCCCAAGGCAGUGAUCAUGUUUCCUGCACCGAGAAAUGAUACAUGGUUAGGAUGAGAAGUGUGCUAAUUACUUUGAUUGAACGUCCCAUAUUGUAUAAAUGUGUUCUAUAAUACUGUACCCCAGCUACACACAUCUAUUAAACCUAGAAAUAUGUUUUAAAAUGUGAA
Molecule: long non-coding RNA, 466 nt
Filed under: Rattus norvegicus (Norway rat)
Lineage: Eukaryota; Metazoa; Chordata; Mammalia; Rodentia; Muridae
Description: long non-coding RNA NONRATT010754
Source: RNAcentral